AAUUUUUUCAUUUUUAUCUUUUUCUGGACUUUAUAAUAAAGAUGGAACGUAUCACAUAGGGAUACAAUUCAGAUAAUAGGCAUACAUACAAAGUACUAACAAAACAGUUAAACUUUUACCCAACAAAACGACAAAUAACAUACCAAAAAUUGCAAAAUAAAAGGACGUUGAUGUUACUUUUUUUUUUUUAAUUCUAGAGCACGUAGUUAUUGAUUUUUUCAGAACGACCCCAACAAAAGUUGUGAUUUGCACAUCAACACCCCCACUUAAUUAGUGUAAUUUUUCAGUGCGGCCCCUUCCUCACAAGCUUUAGCUUCAGGUGUUGGCUCCACCGUCGGCGACGGAGGAACCGCCGUACACAACAAUUCAGAUGGCAGACCGGGGAUCCCCUUCAAGUAAAAAGUGUAAAAUAGCUUGAAAGGGAAAAUGAGUUGCUGCAAUUUCACUUGACCGGAAACCCCUGCAAAUAUGCCGGAUCCACCGGUGACGGCUAGGUAAGUUUCUUCAUAGGUUAAGUACGCUCCCUGAACGGCGAUAUGACCGUAAUCGCCGAAGUAGAAGCUGUAAACAGCUUCAUAGCGAUCUCCUUUCUUCUCUUCUUCGUGCUUGAUCAGAAUGCAGAGUCCUGCUGUUAUUCCAAUUCUCUUCUUUAGAUCUGCAGUAUAUAGCUUGUUGCUAAAGGGGACAAGAUCUCCGAGUGAAUUAACAGUCUUUUGGCUCAAUCGAAGAUAAGCAGGGCUUCCACGAUCACGUUCAUUGAUCUCAUAGACACUAAGUUCUUGAACUUCAGUGUUAGUUGAAUCUGUUGAGGUGCUCUGGCUCUUGCAGGAAAAUGAUCUGGAAGCAGUAGUAGAGGUGGUAGUAAGUUUAUGAUUCUGAGAAAUGAGAGGGUUAGGUAGUUUAAAAGAUUGGAUCUUUUUAGUUUGGAAGGCAGAGGAUAGCUUGGAUGAGGAAGAAGAAAUGGUUCUAAGAGCAGCAGAGGCUGAGGAAACAGUGGCCAUUGCUGAACAAUUUGUUGGUUCUAGUGGUCAAAAAAGAAGACUUAAAUGAGGUUGUU
Molecule: unclassified non-coding RNA, 1057 nt
Filed under: Hevea brasiliensis (rubber tree)
Lineage: Eukaryota; Viridiplantae; Streptophyta; Magnoliopsida; Malpighiales; Euphorbiaceae
Source: RNAcentral